This 72-nucleotide transfer RNA is filed under the name Apaloderma vittatum (bar-tailed trogon). It matches the Rfam family "tRNA". Rfam says of the family: Transfer RNA (tRNA) molecules are approximately 80 nucleotides in length. The record is from Rfam by way of RNAcentral. Lineage: Eukaryota; Metazoa; Chordata; Aves; Trogoniformes; Trogonidae.
GGCCGGUUAGCUCAGUAGGUUGAGCGUGGCGCUAACAAAGCUAAGGUUGCGGGUUCGAUUCCCAUUCGGUCC